UAUAUUAUAAUCCGAAUUGGCAAUCCUAUAAAGCUAAUCCAAAUCAGCAAAGCAAUAAAAAGAAACAAAACAGAAGAUUCAUGUUUAUUGUAUACCAACACAUACCCUAAAAUGACACGUGUUUGCGUUUUUUUGCUUUGUGUUGCAUUUUUUGCACUUAUUGAUGCGCGACCAAAGACAGCUCGAUUGAAAGACUCUAAAAAAAGUUCAGAACUUGUCAAGUUGAAUGAUCCUUCAUUUGGGCAAAAAAUUAUAAACAGGAUUAAAAAACCUUUUGAACAUGUGAUCAAUAGUUUAAAAAAUGGUAUUGCUUCAAAAAAGGAAACAAAACCCCCAAGAAGAUGCUACUUGAAUGGUUAUUGUUCUCCUGGUAAAAAAGAAAUUACGCAAAAAAAUUAACGAAAUAAAAAAUAAACAAGACAACAAAACUUGUAUUUUUUGAUACUGCUUUUAUUUACGGAUAUUUUUUAUAUUUGUCACGAACUUUAAUUUUAUUCUGCUAAUGUGAUUUAUGUUCAAACAAAACAUUUUUUUUUAUAAACAAUGUUAAAAAAGAAAUCAAAGUUAUAAAAUUAUAAUUAUUUUUUACUUUUAAAAUGUGAAAGACAAAAACUGUAUCCCCUCGUUGAUUUUAUUUACAUAUUUAAAUGAACGAAACUUUGAAAUAGUGAAGUUAGAUUCAAAUGAUAAUUGUUUACAGGACAUCAGAGUCCUUGGUUUUUUGUAGAAAUCCCCGUGGUCAGGUAGAUCCCUACGUGGACAUCAAAUAAUUAGCUUUUUUAUGUUUUUCUGCGAAAAGUUUUUCCUCUCACUCCUUUUUGGUUAAAAUUUUUGUUUUCUCUUUUUCUCAUUUUAUUUUAUUCUUUCAUUCUACCUUUUUUUUUCUUUUUUCUUAGUCUUACUCCUAUAUCUUUGUUUUGAUUCCAAAUUUUUAAAUAUUAUUGUUCCUAUUACUUUUUUUUAUUAUUACUUGUAUUAUUGUAACUUACUUUUUUUAUUAUUUCCUUGUUUAAAUUUUUUUUUUCAUUUGUUUAUUUUAUUAAGGUGUCACUCCAUUAACUUGUUUUGAACUAUAUGAGUAACACCGAACCUAACUCUGUAAAUUAUAAUUAAUUUUUUAAUUUUUAACUUUAUGGUUAAAUAAAUGGAUAAAAAUACAUACUGUUCACGAGGUUCA
This is a long non-coding RNA of Hydra vulgaris (swiftwater hydra), 1177 nucleotides long. RefSeq lists it as uncharacterized. The record is from RefSeq and is a predicted model, not a curated record. Lineage: Eukaryota; Metazoa; Cnidaria; Hydrozoa; Anthoathecata; Hydridae.